AUUGAACGCUGGCGGCAGGCUUAACACAUGCAAGUCGAGCGGGGGAAGGUAGCUUGCUACCGGACCUAGCGGCGGACGGGUGAGUGAUGCUUAGGAAUCUGCCUAUUAGUGGGGGACAACAUCUCGAAAGGGAUGCUAAUACCGCAUACGUCCUACGGGAGAAAGCAGGGGAUCUUCGGACCUUGCGCUAAUAGAUGAGCCUAAGUCGGAUUAGCUAGUUGGUGGGGUAAAGGCCUACCAAGGCGACGAUCUGUAGCGGGUCUGAGAGGAUGAUCCGCCACACUGGGAGUGAGACACGGCCCAGACUCCUACGGGAGGCAGCAGUGGGGAAUAUUGGACAAUGGGGGGAACCCUGAUCCAGCCAUGCCGCGUGUGUGAAGAAGGCCUUAUGGUUGUAAAGCACUUUAAGCGAGGAGGAGGCUACUCUAGUUAAUACCUAGGGAUAGUGGACGUUACUCGCAGAAUAAGCACCGGCUAACUCUGUGCCAGCAGCCGCAGUAA
Molecule: ribosomal RNA, 501 nt
Filed under: uncultured bacterium
Lineage: Bacteria
Description: partial 16S ribosomal RNA
Rfam family: Bacterial small subunit ribosomal RNA
Source: RNAcentral